UCCCAUAUGGUCUAGCGGUUAGGAUAUUCGCCUCUCACGUGAAUGGCCGGGGUUCGACUCCCCGUGUGGGAA
Non-coding RNA from Rhagoletis zephyria (snowberry fruit fly), 72 nucleotides. Lineage: Eukaryota; Metazoa; Arthropoda; Insecta; Diptera; Tephritidae. The record is from the annotation of a RefSeq genome assembly.